This 403-nucleotide ribosomal RNA is filed under the name uncultured bacterium. RNAcentral describes it as "partial 16S ribosomal RNA". It matches the Rfam family "Bacterial small subunit ribosomal RNA", at positions 28 to 526 of the family's 1533-position model. The record is from RNAcentral.
GACGAACGCUGGCGGCGUGCCUAAUACAUGCAAGUCGAACGCAGUGGGGACGGGUGAGUAACACGUGGGUAACCUCCCAUCAGAGGGGAUAACACUUGGAAACAGGUGCUAAACCGAUACUGAUGGAUGGACCCGCGGUGCAUUAGCUAGUUGGUGGGGUAACGGCUCACCAAGGCCAUGAUGCCUAGACGGCCUGAUAGGGAGAUCGGCAAAACGGGGACUUAGAAGCGGCCCAGACUCCUACGUGAGGCAGCAGUAAGAAAUCUUCGGCAAUGGACGAAGGUCUGACCGAUCAGAGCCGAGUGAGUGAAGAAGGUUUUCGGAUCGUAAAACUCUGUUGUUAGAGAAGCGGUAUCUAACCAGAGGGCCACGGCUGACUACGUGCCAGCAACCGCGGUAAUAC